This is a non-coding RNA of Beta vulgaris subsp. vulgaris (sugar beet), 156 nucleotides long. The record is from Rfam. Lineage: Eukaryota; Viridiplantae; Streptophyta; Magnoliopsida; Caryophyllales; Amaranthaceae.
GGUCCGAUGCCACGUCGUUUAUAGCACAAUAGCCAUGAUUUGCGAUGCUAUGAUUGGUACCAACAUCAAAUUUUUAUUAAUAUUUCGCAUUUUGAUAGGAACCCGUUAAUCUUAUUUUCCGAUGAUUAAACGGAGCCGUUUCUUGCGAUUACAGUU